This 155-nucleotide ribosomal RNA is filed under the name uncultured bacterium. Its description in RNAcentral is "partial 16S rRNA". It matches the Rfam family "Bacterial small subunit ribosomal RNA", at positions 355 to 507 of the family's 1533-position model. The record is from RNAcentral.
UGAGGAAUAUUGGACAAUGGGCGAGAGCCUGAUCCAGCCAUGCCGCGUGCAGGAAGACUGCCUUAUGGGUUGUAAACUGCUUUUGUACGGGAAGAAACACCUCCACGUGUGGGGGCUUGACGGUACUGUACGAAUAAGGAUCGGCUAACUCCGUG